Molecule: ribosomal RNA, 442 nt
Filed under: Pseudomonas sp. J24
Lineage: Bacteria; Pseudomonadati; Pseudomonadota; Gammaproteobacteria; Pseudomonadales; Pseudomonadaceae
Description: bacterial SSU rRNA
Rfam family: Bacterial small subunit ribosomal RNA
Source: RNAcentral
GAAAGCAGGGGACCUUCGGGCCUUGCGCUAUCAGAUGAACCUAGGUCGGAUUAGCUAGUUGGUGGGGUAAUGGCUCACCAAGGCGACGAUCCGUAACUGGUCUGAGAGGAUGAUCAGUCACACUGGAACUGAGACACGGUCCAGACUCCUACGGGAGGCAGCAGUGGGGAAUAUUGGACAAUGGGCGAAAGCCUGAUCCAGCCAUGCCGCGUGUGUGAAGAAGGUCUUCGGAUUGUAAAGCACUUUAAGUUGGGAGGAAGGGCAGUAAGCGAAUACCUUGCUGUUUUGACGUUACCGACAGAAUAAGCACCGGCUAACUCUGUGCCAGCAGCCGCGGUAAUACAGAGGGUGCAAGCGUUAAUCGGAAUUACUGGGCGUAAAGCGCGCGUAGGUGGUUUGUUAAGUUGGAUGUGAAAGCCCCGGGCUCAACCUGGGAACUGCA